This 393-nucleotide ribosomal RNA is filed under the name uncultured bacterium. RNAcentral describes it as "partial 16S ribosomal RNA". It matches the Rfam family "Bacterial small subunit ribosomal RNA", at positions 523 to 918 of the family's 1533-position model. The record is from RNAcentral.
AUACGUAGGUGACAAGCGUUAUCCGGAUUUACUGGGCGUAAAGGGUGCGCAGGCGGCCGUGCAGGUCAGCGGUGAAAGCCCGGGGCUCAACCCCGGAAGUGCCGUUGAUACUGCGUGGCUGGAAUGCGGUCGAGGCGGGCGGAACCUGGCGGGUUGCGGUGAAAUGCGUAGAUAUGCCACAGAACGCCGAUAGCGGAGGCAGCUCGCCAGGCCUGCAGUGACGCUCGGGCACGAAAGCGUGGGGAUCGAACAGGAUUAGAUACCCUGGUAGUCCACGCCGUAAACGAUGGGCGCUCGUCGUCGGCGACAGACAGUCGGCGGCCAAGCGAAAGCGAUAAGCGCCCCACCUGGGGAGUACGGUCGCAAGGCUGAAACUUAAAGGAAUUGACGGGG